This 484-nucleotide ribosomal RNA is filed under the name uncultured bacterium. Its description in RNAcentral is "partial 16S ribosomal RNA". It matches the Rfam family "Bacterial small subunit ribosomal RNA", at positions 30 to 507 of the family's 1533-position model. The record is from RNAcentral.
AUUGAACGCUGGCGGCAGGCCUAACACAUGCAAGUCGAGCGGAUGAAGGGAGCUUGCUCCUGGAUUCAGCGGCGGACGGGUGAGUAAUGCCUAGGAAUCUGCCUGGUCGUGGGGGAUAACGUCCGGAAACGGGCGCUAAUACCGCAUACGUUCUGAGGGAGAAAGUGGGGGAUCUUUGGACCUCACGCUAUCAGAUGUGCCUAGGUCGGAUUAGCUAGUUGGUGGGGUAAAGGCCUACCAAGGCGACGAUCCGUAACUGGUCUGAGAGGAUGAUCAGUCACACUGGAACUGAGACACGGUCCAGACUCCUACGGGAGGCAGCAGUGGGGAAUAUUGGACAAUGGGCGAAAGCCUGAUCCAGCCAUGCCGCGUGUGUGAAGAAGGUCUUCGGAUUGUAAAGCACUUUAAGUUGGGAGGAAGGGCAGUAAGUUAAUACCUUGCUGUUUUGACGUUACCAACAGAAUAAGCACCGGCUAACUUCGUG